GGGCUGGGUGUGGUUGGUUGAGUA
RNAcentral lists this microRNA (24 nucleotides) under Ananas comosus (pineapple). Its description in RNAcentral is "microRNA s1545_c087b". Lineage: Eukaryota; Viridiplantae; Streptophyta; Magnoliopsida; Poales; Bromeliaceae. The record is from RNAcentral.